Molecule: ribosomal RNA, 697 nt
Filed under: uncultured bacterium
Lineage: Bacteria
Description: bacterial SSU rRNA
Rfam family: Bacterial small subunit ribosomal RNA
Source: RNAcentral
GGGAUAACAUUUGGAAACAGAUGCUAAUACCGCAUAAGAUUACAGUACCGCAUGAUACAGUGAUCAAAGGAGCAAUCCGCUGAAAGAUGGGCUCGCGUCCGAUUAGAUAGUUGGUGAGGUAACGGCUCACCAAGUCGACGAUCGGUAGCCGGACUGAGAGGUUGAACGGCCACAUUGGGACUGAGACACGGCCCAGACUCCUACGGGAGGCAGCAGUGGGGAAUAUUGCACAAUGGGCGAAAGCCUGAUGCAGCAACGCCGCGUGAGGGAAGACGGUUUUCGGAUUGUAAACCUCUGUUUUCGGUGACGAAUAAAUGACGGUAACCGAGUAGGAAGCCACGGCUAACUACGUGCCAGCAGCCGCGGUAAUACGUAGGUGGCAAGCGUUAUCCGGAAUUACUGGGUGUAAAGGGAGCGCAGGCGGGAUAGCAAGUCAGUUGUGAAAACUAUGGGCUCAACCCAUAGAUUGCAGUUGAAACUGUCAUUCUUGAGUGGAGUAGAGGCAAGCGGAAUUCCGAGUGUAGCGGUGAAAUGCGUAGAUAUUCGGAGGAACACCAGUGGCGAAGGCGGCUUGCUGGGCUCUAACUGACGCUGAGGCUCGAAAGUGUGGGGAGCAAACAGGAUUAGAUACCCUGGUAGUCCACACUGUAAACGAUGAUUGCUAGGUGUGGGGGGUCUGACCCCCUCCGUGCCGGAG